This 253-nucleotide ribosomal RNA is filed under the name uncultured bacterium. RNAcentral's name for it is "partial 16S ribosomal RNA". It matches the Rfam family "Bacterial small subunit ribosomal RNA", at positions 524 to 776 of the family's 1533-position model. The record is from RNAcentral.
UACGUAGGGUGCGAGCGUUAAUCGGAAUUACUGGGCGUAAAGCGUGCGCAGGCGGUUUUGUAAGCCAGAUGUGAAAUCCCCGGGCUUAACCUGGGAAUGGCAUUUGGGACUGCAAGGCUCGAGUGCGGCAGAGGAGACUGGAAUUCCUGGUGUAGCAGUGAAAUGCGUAGAUAUCAGGAGGAACACCGAUGGCGAAGGCAGGUCUCUGGGCUGACACUGACGCUCAUGCACGAGAGCGUGGGGAGCAAACAGG